RNAcentral lists this ribosomal RNA (483 nucleotides) under uncultured bacterium. RNAcentral's name for it is "partial 16S ribosomal RNA". It matches the Rfam family "Bacterial small subunit ribosomal RNA", at positions 28 to 523 of the family's 1533-position model. The record is from RNAcentral.
GACGAACGCUGGCGGCGUGCUUAACACAUGCAAGUCGAACGAUGAAGCUGGAGCUUGCUCCGGUGGAUUAGUGGCGAACGGGUGAGUAACACGUGAGCAAUCUGCCCUUGACUCUGGGAUAACUGCGGGAAACUGUAGCUAAUACCGGAUACGAGGCUCGAAGGCAUCUUCGGGUUUGGAAAGAAUUUCGGUCAAGGAUGAGCUCGCGGCCUAUCAGCUUGUUGGUGAGGUAAUGGCUCACCAAGGCGACGACGGGUAGCCGGCCUGAGAGGGUGACCGGCCACACUGGGACUGAGACACGACCCAGACUCCUACGGGAGGCAGCAGUGGGGAAUAUUGCACAAUGGGCGAAAGCCUGAUGCAGCAACGCCGCGUGAGGGAUGAAGGCCUUCGGGUUGUAAACCUCUUUUAGCAGGGAAGAAGCGAAAGUGACGGUACCUGCAGAAAAAGCACCGGCUAACUACGUGCCAGCCGCCGCAGUAA